GAUGAAGAACGCAGCGAAAUGCGAUACGUAAUGUGAAUUGCAAAUUCAGUGAAUCAUCGAGUCUUUGAACGCACAUUGCGCCCCCUGGUAUUCCGGGGGGCAUGCCUGUCCGAGCGUCAUUGCUGCCCUCAAGCACGGCUUGUGUGUUGGGCCCCGUCCUCCGAUCCCGGGGGACGGGCCCGAAAGGCAGCGGCGGCACCGCGUCCGGUCCUCGAGCGUAUGGGGCUUUGUCACCUGCUCUGUAGGCCCGGCCGGCGCUUGCCGAUCAACCCAAAUUUUUAUCCAGGUUGACCUCGGAUCAGGUAGGGAUACCCGCUGAACUUAAGCAUAUCAAUAAGCGGAGGA
Molecule: unclassified non-coding RNA, 345 nt
Filed under: soil metagenome
Description: partial contains 5.8S ribosomal RNA, internal transcribed spacer 2, and large subunit ribosomal RNA
Rfam family: 5.8S ribosomal RNA (bases 1-119)
Source: RNAcentral